This 1307-nucleotide ribosomal RNA is filed under the name uncultured bacterium. RNAcentral describes it as "bacterial SSU rRNA". It matches the Rfam family "Bacterial small subunit ribosomal RNA", at positions 28 to 1381 of the family's 1533-position model. The record is from RNAcentral.
AACGUACGCUGGCGGCACGCCUAACACAUGCAAGUCGAACGAAGUAGCAAUACUUAGUGGCAGACGGGUGAGUAACAUGUAGGUAUCUGCCCUUUGGCCUGGAAUAACACUAGGAAACUUGUGCUAAUACCGGAUAAGUCUUUACGGAGAAAGCUUUAUGCACCAUUGGAUGAGCCUGCACUUGAUUAGUUUGUUGGUGGGGUAAUGGCCUACCAAGACUGUGAUCAAUAGCUGAUUUGAGAGGAUGAUCAGCCACAUUGGGACUGAGACACGGCCCAAACUCCUACGGGAGGCAGCAGUGGGGAAUCUUGCACAAUGGAGGAAACUCUGAUGCAGCGAUGCCGCGUGAGUGAAGAAGGCCCUUGGGUUGUAAAGCUCUUUCGUCGGGGAAGAAAAUGACUGUACCCGAAUAAGAAGGUCCGGCUAACUUCGUGCCAGCAGCCGCGGUAAUACGAAGGGACCUAGCGUAGUUCGGAAUUACUGGGCUUAAAGAGUUCGUAGGUGGUUGAAAAAGUUAGUGGUGAAAUCCCAGAGCUUAACUCUGGAACUGCCAUUAAAACUUUUCAGCUAGAGUAUGAUAGAGGAAAGCAGAAUUUCUAGUGUAGAGGUGAAAUUCGUAGAUAUUAGAAAGAAUACCAAUUGCGAAGGCAGCUUUCUGGAUCAUUACUGACACUGAGGAACGAAAGCAUGGGUAGCGAAGAGGAUUAGAUACCCUCGUAGUCCAUGCCGUAAACGAUGUGUGUUAGACGUUGGAAAUUUAUUUUCAGUGUCGCAGGGAAACCGAUAAACACACCGCCUGGGGAGUACGACCGCAAGGUUAAAACUCAAAUGAAUUGACGGGGACCCGCACAAGUAGUGGAGCAUGUGGUUUAAUUCGAAGAUACGCGCAGAACCUUACCAACACUUGACAUGUUCGUCGCGACUCUAAGAGAUUAGAGUUUUCGGUUCGGCCGGACGAAACACAGGUGCUGCAUGGCUGUCGUCAGCUCGUGUCGUGAGAUGUUGGGUUAAGUCCCGCAACGAGCGCAACCCUCACUUUUAGUUGCCAUCAUUAAGUUGGGCACUCUGAAAGAACUGCCAGUGAUAAGCUGGAGGAAGGUGGGGAUGACGUCAAGUCCUCAUGGCCCUUACGUGUUGGGCUACACACGUGCUACAAUGGUAUCUACAACAGGAAGCAAGACUGCGAAGUUAAGCAAAUCCCUAAAAGAUACCUCAGUUCGGAUUGCACUCUGCAACUCGAGUGCAUGAAGCUGGAAUUACUAGUAAUCGUGGAUCAGCGUGCCACGGUGAAAUGCGUUCCCGGGUCU